RNAcentral lists this long non-coding RNA (460 nucleotides) under Gallus gallus (chicken). RNAcentral describes it as "long non-coding RNA NONGGAT005465". The record is from RNAcentral. Lineage: Eukaryota; Metazoa; Chordata; Aves; Galliformes; Phasianidae.
CUGCAGCAGUGGGGAUGUGGUGUCUGGCCGGCCCUGGGAUGGGAGCAUCACCGCUCCCCACAGGUCAUUAUCUGGGAUGCUGAGUCCCUGAAGGUUCCCCUGCCAGGUGGGGGUUCAGAGCCACGCAGGGGAUGUUGGGCUUUCUCUGUGCCCCACUGCCCAUGCAGCUGCUGCACUGAGUGAGCUGGGAUUGGUGACACUGCGUGCAGCACUGCUCCUCCAGGACACACCAGGAAACGCCUUAUGGAAACAGCAACAAUGCCGCUGAGCCCUGCGCCGUCCCCUGGCUCCCAGCUGCCAGACGGAGGCAAUGUCGCAGCUGCCAUGGCCCGGAUCCAUGUGGCUUAUUAAUAAUCAACUUUUAUUGCUGCCCGUCUGCAGACAGCCGUGUGUGUGGGACUCAGUCCUUUUGUCCUCAGCAUCAGGGUGAGAAAUGUGGCACGGCUUUGGGGAAAAAAAC